AGACGUCUACAUUAGAUACCCCCGUAGUCCCAGCCGUAAACUAUGCGCGUUAGGUGUAUCGGUGACCACGAGUCACCGAGGUGCCGAAGGGAAACCGUGAAACGUGCCGCCUGGAAAGUACGGUCGCAAGGCUGAAACUUAAAGGAAUUGGCGGGGAGCACCACAACGGGUGGAGCCUGCGGUUUAAUUGGACUCAACGCCGGGAAGCUCACCGGAUAAGACAGCGGAAUGAUUGCCGGGCUGAAGACUCUGCAUGACUAGCUG
This 264-nucleotide ribosomal RNA is filed under the name uncultured archaeon. Its description in RNAcentral is "partial 16S ribosomal RNA". It matches the Rfam family "Archaeal small subunit ribosomal RNA", at positions 714 to 982 of the family's 1478-position model. The record is from RNAcentral.